AAAGGGGGCUCAGCGGGCAGAUUUUCUCCUCCGACAUCAUACACUUUCACGGGAGAUGGGAUAUGACCCCGUCAUUUUCAGUUGGUUUUGUUUACAGCGAGGUUAUAUCAGGGUAAUGAUUAAUAGGGAUAGUUGGGGGCAUUAAUAUUUAAUUGUCAGAGGUGAAAUUCUUGGAUUUAUGAAAGAUUAACUUCUGCGAAAGCGUUUGCCAAGGAUGUUUUUUUAUUAAUCAACAACGAUUGUGGGGGGAACGAAGACUAUAUAAUACCGUCGUCUUCUUAACCAUCAACGACGCCCACCAAUGGUGAGAAGACGUUUAAGACAAAACCGCUGUUAAUCCUUUCGGGGGUUAAUAGUUGGUGAAUGGACUCCCCUGACUCCUUGAGAAAAUUGUGAGAA
RNAcentral lists this ribosomal RNA (399 nucleotides) under Acanthamoeba sp. Its description in RNAcentral is "partial small subunit ribosomal RNA". It matches the Rfam family "Eukaryotic small subunit ribosomal RNA", at positions 766 to 1115 of the family's 1831-position model. Lineage: Eukaryota; Discosea; Longamoebia; Acanthamoebidae. RNAcentral also lists the same sequence under 1 other name. The record is from RNAcentral.